Molecule: transfer RNA, 76 nt
Filed under: Serratia fonticola
Lineage: Bacteria; Pseudomonadati; Pseudomonadota; Gammaproteobacteria; Enterobacterales; Yersiniaceae
Description: tRNA-Arg
Rfam family: tRNA
About the family: Transfer RNA (tRNA) molecules are approximately 80 nucleotides in length. Their secondary structure includes four short double-helical elements and three loops (D, anti-codon, and T loops). Further hydrogen bonds mediate the characteristic L-shaped molecular structure. tRNAs have two regions of fundamental functional importance: the anti-codon, which is responsible for specific mRNA codon recognition, and the 3' end, to which the tRNAs corresponding amino acid is attached (by aminoacyl-tRNA synthetases). tRNAs cope with the degeneracy of the genetic code in two manners: having more than one tRNA (with a specific anti-codon) for a particular amino acid; and 'wobble' base-pairing, i.e. permitting non-standard base-pairing at the 3rd anti-codon position.
Source: RNAcentral
UCUGGUAUAGCUCAGUGGUAGAGCAGUCGGCUCUCCUUUCGGCUGGACACAGGUUCGAGCCCUAUUGCCAGAACCU